CAGAGAUACACAAAAUGGGUUCCAAUAAGAAGCAUUUGAUACCUCUGGUGAUCGUCUUAUAUCUUAUGCUUUUCCUUUCAUCCUAUGGGGCAGCAAGGUUCUUCAUUCCAAAUGGAUAUAUGAACGCCCUCGAGACGAAGCCAAUUAUGUUGGGACGAAUUAUGCGACGAGAUUUGGCAUAUGGAGGAAAUUAUAGUCCCGGAAAACAGUGAUAUGAUUGUAAGAAUACGAACUACUAAAAGAAUAUAGUGAAUAAGUUCUUAUUUCUUUAUUAAGUUGAAUUCUGUUCGAAUGAUUAAAUUUUAAUCUCGGUGUAGAUUGAAAUCUUGUUCUUCUUAUUUGUAUUAAUAUAAUGUGUUUGGAUGGAUUAUAAAA
This is a long non-coding RNA of Cucurbita moschata (crookneck pumpkin), 375 nucleotides long. RefSeq lists it as uncharacterized. Lineage: Eukaryota; Viridiplantae; Streptophyta; Magnoliopsida; Cucurbitales; Cucurbitaceae. The transcript has 2 exons. The record is from RefSeq and is a predicted model, not a curated record.